CCUACGGGAGGCAGCAGUGAGGAAUAUUGGUCAAUGGCCGGAAGGCUGAACCAGCCAUGCCGCGUGAAUGGCAGGGACCUAGGGGCGUUAAACUUCUUUUGUGCGGGAGCAAGAAUGGUCACGUGUGGCCAGACGAGAGUACCGUACGAAUAAGCAGCGGCCAACUCCGGGCCAGCAGCCGCGGUAAGACGGGGGAUGCAAGCGUUAUCCGGAUUUAGUGGGUUUAAAGGGGGCGGAGGCUGUGAGGUAAGUGAGCGGUGAAAGGCCCCCGCUCCACUGGGUGAAGUGCCAUUGAUACUGCCUUUCUGGCCUGCUGAUGCCGUGGGUGGAAUGUGUGGUGUAGCGG
This 346-nucleotide ribosomal RNA is filed under the name uncultured bacterium. RNAcentral describes it as "partial 16S ribosomal RNA". It matches the Rfam family "Bacterial small subunit ribosomal RNA", at positions 338 to 681 of the family's 1533-position model. The record is from RNAcentral.